Molecule: transfer RNA, 79 nt
Filed under: Anguilla anguilla (European eel)
Lineage: Eukaryota; Metazoa; Chordata; Actinopteri; Anguilliformes; Anguillidae
Description: tRNA-OTHER
Source: RNAcentral
AGCAGUGUAUUAUAAUGGGUAAGGAGGUAGUCUUGUAAUCUAAAGAUCACAGGUUCGAUUCCGGGGAAGGACACUGCUG